GUGGAUUCUGGCAGCACGUAUACUAAAACUGGAACAAUACAUAGAUUAGCAUGGCCCCUGCACAAAGAUGAUUUGCAAAUUCAUGAAGCGUUAAAAUAAAAA
Cynocephalus volans (Philippine flying lemur) is the source of this 102-nucleotide small nuclear RNA. The record is from RefSeq and is a predicted model, not a curated record. NCBI's taxonomy places the organism in Eukaryota, Metazoa, Chordata, Mammalia, Dermoptera, Cynocephalidae.